CAGCCAUCAUCACGUACAGCACACGAAGAAAUUACGAAGGAGACGCCAGCUGUAAGGACGCACUGCUCCCCGCACGCACGCACAGAGAGCGUAAAGGUAGACAGCGACCCUUAGAAGCCGUGCAGCGUCACUCCCGCUGAUCGGGCUCUACUUCUAAAAAAAAAAAAACUAUCGCUCAUUGUUGCCGACGCCGCAGCCAUGACCGCCACAAUCCUUCGCACGAACUACGCCCUACUUCUCUUUUAUGUGCGAGAGAAGUACUGGCACCAUGCGGAGGAGGUGUGCAUGUCCGUCAUCCAGUCCACGGAUGAUCACAUGUUCCGUGUGUGGCGGGCGCUGACGCUGGAUCGGCAAGGCAUGACGAACGAUGCCAUUCGCGAGUACAAGACUGUCGAGUCGCGCCGCGCCACCGCCGUGCCGGCGCUCAUGGGCAUGCAACUCAUUUACAGGAAUAACCGCGAUCAGGAAGGCGUGGCGCAGACGGAGGCGAAGCUCGACGGCUUCGAAGUGGCUGACAACAUGGGUGGCUGGGUGCAGGCGGCGGCUUUGUGCUGGGCCGCUGGGGACAUCAACGCAGCCAGAGACAUCCUGCUCAAGUUCACGGACAACGAGGCGGCGAUGGCAUACCGGGACGAGUACACGAACUACGGCACCAUCCGCGGCUGGGUAGAUCUGCUGUCGGGCCGCGGUGCGCUGCUGGAGAAGGCUGGCGCGCUGUUCUCCAGCAUGCUGGAGAUGGAGGAGGCGCAGUACUCGUUUUUUCAGUCUAGCAAUGAGGCCGGCGGCGGUGGGAGCGGCACCACCAAGUGGACCGACAUGAACGCCGCGCUUGGCUACGUGGCCUUCCUCGAGCAUAAGACGCAGUUGAUGAAGGCGCAGAGCCUGCUGGACCGCCUUGUCGUCCUUUAUCCGAACUGCAGCAUCCCCCCACUGGUGGGCAAGGCGCGCCUGCUCAUGCAGGCCGAUGACUGGGAGCAGGCGAUAGAGGUGACUCACCGCAUCCUCGCCCACGACAAGGGCAAUGUCGAGGCCCUCGCACUCGAGGCGCUCUACGCGAUUGGAAAGGACACCCGCCAAGACGCCGCACAGGUGCGGUUACGCCGUCUGCUCGACGCCGUCCGGGCCAAGGAGCCGCGCAACGUGGCACUGCUGCACCAAUUCGCGCUCGUCUUCUCUCGCCUGGCUGGUGGUCGGCUGGAUCUGUUAAACAUCACCACGCAGUUUUCGGAGAUGGCGUAUGCGCUGGAUAGCCGCAACGGCGAUGUGCUCUGCGGGUUGGGGUACCAGCAGCUGUACCGGCAUGACUACAAGACCGCCGUGGCGACUUUCCGCAAGGCCGCAACGCUGACGGACAGCCUGGGCCCGCUCCUAGGGACCGUGACGUGCCUCUUGCACCAGGGCGACGUGGAGGAGGCGGCGGCGCAGCUACAAUUUUGUAAUCAGCUGCAGCCGGCUGCGCAGCGCAACGCGGAGCUCAGCAUGCUGAACGCGCAGCUGCGGUGGCGCCUGCGCGGCAUGGAAGAGGAGACAGCGGUGUUACGGUAUCUGGAUCAGGCAGCCGAGGCGAUCAAGCAAGACGUCAAGGAGCGCGCGGGAUCUGGAAUGGAGGUGUAUGUGCACCUCAACGCCCCCGUUGCGCUCGUCAUCGCCCAUGCCUACCUCAUGCACUGCCGCAACGAACCACCGGACCCGAUGUUCAAGCACACGGACGUGGUCAGCGAGAAGUGUGGGCGCCAUCUCGAGUUCGUCGUGCAGCACCUGCCAGCCUGCAUGGAGGCGCAGCUGAUGCUGGCCAAGGUGUGGUUCGUCAGAGGUGACGUGCGCAAGGCUCAGAACCUGCUCAAGAACACGCUUCUCAUGCAGGAGCAGCCGCUGCCGGACGCCUUCCUGCUGUCGAGCCAUAUAUGCCAGUACAUGGGGGAUGUCAAGCUCGCCAGCCAGGCCUUGGAGCGCGCGCUGACUCUAGACUUUUCCCUACAGGAGCAGCCCCUUUAUAACCUGCUACUCGGCACAGUGCAAGGCACCACGGGCAAGUACGCGGAGGCUCUCGCGUCGUUGCAGCGCGCCUACAGCACCGUGAAGAGCGCGGCCGCCGCUUCCUCCGCGGGAAAGCCAACGAAUCUGCUCAGCGUGCCGGAGACAGUAACUCUGUACCUACAGCUGGCGCAGGCGCAGCUGCGCGUGCGCGACGUGGAAGCGGCGCGCGCGACACUGGCGGAGGCAGCUCUCCAGUUCCGAGACUCAGCGCAGAUAGGGCGCGUAGUCAUUGCGCAGGCGAUGCUGGCCGCGCGCACAGAUGUCGAUAAAGGCAUCGAGCUGCUGCGGCAGGUGCCGAGCAAGAGCGAGUUCUACACGGCCGCCCACUCGCAGCUGGGCAAGCUCUUCCUCACACAGAAGCACAACUUGGGCAUGUACAUUCAGUGCUUCCAGGAGAUGGCCGAGGCGGUUCCGUCCGCGCAGAGCUACGUUGCGCUUGGCGAAGCCUACACAGUAAUUCAGGAGCCAGAGCAGGCGAUCGCGGCGUACGAGAAGGCCAGGGCGCUCUCUCCAUCCAGCAGCGAGCUGUCUGUGCGCGUUGGCCGCGCUCUCGUCGCGGCGCACGACUACGCCAAAGCAAUCCGGUACUACCAGGACGCGCUCAUGUCCGACCCGCACCUCUCCAUCGUGCGGGCCGACCUCGCCACGCUGCAGUGGCGGCUGGGCCGCAUAGACGCGGCGCGCGAGACUAUCGUGAUGUCCCCCGUGUACGAGCUUCCUUCCACAAACGGCGCCGGUGCAGGUGUGGCGUCCGCAGCAGCGGCGGGGUCUGCGGAAACGGUAGGGACGGCGAUUGAGCGGAUCAACCUUUACCUCCUCCUGUACAAGGUGCUGCGCGACCAGCCGUGGACGGUUCCGUUGAGCGAGCAAGGCACCGCCCACACUGGCAGCGACGGCGAUCACGGCGAUGCGGCCCUCAGGGCCCUUCUCACAGCCCGAUCGCUGCAACGGCGCCUCAUCGAGCAGCAGCUGCGUGCCGAAACGGCCGAAGUGAACGCCGAGCAGCGCGUCGUCAUGUCGGGGAUUUGCACCGAGCUAGGCGCGCGGUGCAUCUACAGCACCCCUGCGCCGCCGCCCUCCUCGGUCAUCAUGACAGACAAGAAGGUGGAGGCUGCCGCGGCGCUGGCGCUCCAGUCCGCUAUUGCGGCACGGCUGACGAACGCGCGGGAGUACCUGCGCGAGGCCAUCACGUACGAUGAGUCGAACGAGUGCGCACAGCUCGAGUCGGCGCAGCUCUGCUACCGCACCGGUGACAUGGACGGGUGCGAGCGACACUGCACGACAGUGCUGCGCAUGGCAGACGGCAGCUCGAGCAAUGCAGAUGCAGUGAUACUGCUGGCGAACCUGUACACACAGCAGGGUCGCACCGAGGACGCUCGAGACAUGUUCGAUGACCUUCUAAGGAAGACCCCCCAGCAUUACGAGGCUCUGGUCUACUACCUCAUCCUCCUCUACCACGCCGGACAGCUGACGGAGGCCAAGGACGCGCUGGGUAGGGCGGCGGCAGCCGUACCGGCGGGCCAGCGCGCCGAUCCGGGCUUGAGCUACGCACGCGGCCUCUACGAGCACCUCUGCAACAACAACGCCGAGGCGCUGCGACACUUCAACUUGGCGCGUCUGCCAACCGACAACGCGUGGUGCACGCGGGCGUUGGUGCGCAUGAUCCGAAUUUACCUCGUACCGACCACGCAGGAUCUCUGGGUGCGAGGCGCGAACCCGGCAGCGGCAGGCUUACCGCUCACUGAGCAGCAGCACCAGAAGUCAGCGCCCCAGAGCAAAGGCCCCGCAGCGGCAGCCUCGACCGGUGGUACGGAGCUGCACGACAACAUACGCUACGCAGAGCAGCUGCUGUUGCUGCUGCCGGUGCACAGCGAGGAAAGACGCAUUCUUCAGGCAUACUGCACGAUGGCGACACGACGCCCGGAGGAGCUCGAGACGGCGCUGCAUCUAUUUCUGGAGUGCAUUGUAGCUGCUGAAACCGGCGGCGUGUCCGGCGCUAGAGCGGCGUGCGGCGCGACGACUGCCGAGAAGAAAGGCAGAAGUGGCAGCGACAAAGACGCCACCAAAGCAGGGAAGAAGCCGCGGCGUGUCGGUGACAGCGACUCGGACGACGACGAGGACCUCCAGCUGCUGGCCAGCAUGCACGAGGCCGCCGCGGAGCUGGCGCAGCGCAGCAGCGGCAGCAGCACGGCCACACUCGCCUUCGCGCUGCAGUGCAAGGUGGUGCACCCGGAGGCGUUUCUCGGGCUGGCCAUCAGCCUCUUCGUUUCUGGGCAGGAGACGGCCGCGCGGAACGUGCUGGCGAGGUUGCUGGAGAGCAAGAAGGUCAUGGCAAAGAUGCCGGUGACGAAGCAGGCGGACAAGAGCAAGGGCGACGCCGCGGAGCCGCCAGCCCCGAUUACUGUCUCUCCUCCGAUCGCGAUCCUCACGUGCUCCGAGGACGACACAAUCGAACGUGCGAUGCUCUUGCAGGCGUACAUGGACACGCAGGAGGGCCAGCUCGAGAAUGCUCGGUUCGUGCUGCAGCAGGUGCUGGCGGCCAACCAGGGCUGCGGUUCCGCCUGGAACGCGCUCGGCAUGAUCUACGAGCGGAACCAGAAGCACAAGGACGCUUCGCGGUGCUAUCAGAAAGCCUGGGAACUGGUGCAGGAGUCCGACCCGGCUGUCGGAUACAAGCUGGGGUUCAACUACCUACGCGGCGGCGAGCCGGUGAAGGCGAUCGACGUGUGCAAGCGCGUGCUCGCCCACCACGCCACGUACCCGCACAUCGAGGCAGAUGUCAUGGACGUUGCCUACUCAAUGCUGCGGCCGUAACUCGGCGCGUGUGAGUGUGUGUGUGUGUGUCUUAUGUAUAUGUGUGUCUGACGACGCACCAGCCCAGCCGCACGCGUGCGUGCGUGCACCCCGGCGGAGGAAUGAACUGUGCCGCUGUAAACGUUUGUGUGUGUGUAUCUUAUGUAUAUGUGUGUCGGCCCCCCCUCCCACUCCCCAAUCGAUGUGAUCUCAAAGACAGCAGCCACGCCUGAAGUUCCUGCGUGGGGGGGGGGGGGGGCAAGAACACACACACGUGCACACACACACACACACACCUCUUGCGCGGGCAAAGAAGAUGGGAAGAGGGGACGCGCUCAUGAGAACGACGCGCACCUAUGCGAGGGCGAGGAGGCGGCACAUCUCGUGAGACCGGGCGAGUCUAUCUAUCCCGCCUUCUCUCGUGGCGCAGCUGCAGCACUCAUUGCUUUCUCUCUGUGGCAGUGGAACCGCUACGACUGGCCAGACGACGACGAAGACCACCACCACCGCCAGCCGAGUCAGGUGUUUCG
RNAcentral lists this unclassified non-coding RNA (5360 nucleotides) under Leishmania donovani. Its description in RNAcentral is "gene:LdHU3.04.0720(CDS-product:tyrosine_phosphata se_putative)". Lineage: Eukaryota; Euglenozoa; Kinetoplastea; Trypanosomatida; Trypanosomatidae. The record is from RNAcentral.